Long non-coding RNA from Marmota monax (woodchuck), 1215 nucleotides. RefSeq lists it as uncharacterized. Lineage: Eukaryota; Metazoa; Chordata; Mammalia; Rodentia; Sciuridae. The transcript is spliced from 4 exons. The record is from RefSeq and is a predicted model, not a curated record.
CGGCUCGUCACUUCCGGCGGGCGGGCUCUGCGGGUAAAGCUUGGUAGCUGCGGGGGUGAUCUGGGCUGGUGAUCUGGACCCCGGCAGGGAUGAAGGGUCGAGUGCCCGAGAUGCAUUCGGGAAAUGCGAGAAGCAGCCUGCAUCGCUUAUCCAGUAAAAGCAGCGGACAGCGGCUCCAUGCCGGAAUCUAGCAGGCAUCCCGCGACCUGAGGUUACCCUCGGUGACCAGGGUCUCCACUGAGUUGCUGAGAUUGUCCUUGAACUUCCAGUCCUUCUGCCUCAGCCUCCCAGGCAGUCAGGAUUACAGGCAUGUGCCACCAUGCCCAACUGUGUACAAAUAAUCUUGAGGAUUGAAAUAUGUUCAUAUUGAUAAUUUUUUCUUAUUCUAAAAUGAACCAGUUUUUUUUUUUUUUUUUUUGCUUAAUUAAACCUACAUUUCCUGGAAAGUUUUCUUAGAAAAUGCUGUAGUUAAGUCUGUCCUUCAGUCAUCCUAGAUGAAUAAAAUUUUUGCAGAUAGAUCUCAGAUAUCCAUGCAGCUUGACGUUUUCAUAGAAGAAACUGAGGUUGAGAAAGGGAAAGUGCAAGUCCUUCCAUGCUGGCUGGCAUGCAGAUGAAGUGGCUCGAUUUUGAACAACAUCUUGUACCAUGAGGAGGUUCAGCAAAGCAAGAAGAUGUGCAGAGCCUGGAGAACAACAACUUAUGAAGCUGCCAUAUGAGCCUUGGGUUGGUUAGGAAGAAAAGCUGAGAAUGCAAUUCCUGGAGCUGAGACAGCCUUCUUCCAACUAUUCGGUAACGAUCAUGAAGACAGAAAAUAUGCUGAGGAAGGCAGAGUGGAAAAAACAGCCUAGUUUCUUGAGGAAAUUGCUGAGCCAUUGCACCAAGUCAAGAACAUAUAUCUUUAGGUGUAUUGCUAUAGCAUAUUGUGAUGGAUAAGCUACUAUUUGAUGUUCCGAUCGUUGCAUCUUGGAUGAUAUGAUAGUUCCAUGAAUGGCACAAGGAGUUGAGCAACAAGGCAUCAAAUCUUAUUCAGCAGAUAACACGGAAAAACAACUAUAAUUCAGUCAGCUAUCCAAAAAAGGAUAUCAUGUUUAACAAAAAUAAAGUGAAUUUGAACAUGGUGGCUAGUUGUUGUCAUGGAUUUAGGCUGUAUUUUGGAAUACUAAUAUGGCAUGAAUCCAUAAUUGCUUAACUCAAAAAUAAAAGCCAUUCUGUGCA